CGCGGCGGCACGAGUUCAUACAGAGCGCCGCGGCUGCGGAGCGAGAGCAGUGUCUCGCGCGCGCGCGCGCUGGGAGUCGGCGGCACCGCUGCGCGAGUCGAGGCGGCGCACGGCAGGCAUGAAGGCGAGUUCCCAUUGGCUCUGACGUUUAAAAGUCCUUUUUCAUUCAAAAAGAGGGGGGUUUGCCCGCGAUCAACAUGGCAGAGCCGUCGGCCGCGGGACCCGCUGCAAAAAUGGCGGCGCGUAGCCGGGUCCGAGCCCUGACUCUGGCUUUCUUGGCUGUCAUCGCGUGUUCCGUGGGCUCCGCGAGCGCGAAGGAUGGCGCGGAGGAGACGGUCAUCAUCGGUCUGCGGCUGGAGGACACGGACGACAUCUCCUUCAUGGACAGGGGCUACCUGCGGGUCAGCGAGAGGUCCCGCGUCCGGCUGCGGGUCUACGGGCAGAACAUCAACAACGAGACGUGGUCCAAGAUCGCGUUCACGGAGCACGAGCGCUCCCGAGCCCUCGCGAGCGUCCGCAGCCCGUCGCGCGACAACGGGAGCCGCGAGGAGGCGUCCACCUUCCACCCGUGCGGCAUCAGGACCUCGGACAUCAUCAUCCUGCCCAACAUCGUCCUCAACAGGAAGACGUCGGGCAUCGUGGAGAUCGAGGUGAAGCCGCUGCGCAAGACGGAGCGGAGCAAGGAGUACUACCUGUGCAUCGCCACCUCCACGCCGGCGCCGGGGCUGCACGACCCGUGGAGCGAGAACACCUGGAUCUACCACGACGGGGACGACACCAAAGUGGUGGUGGUGGAGGAGAAGAAGUUCCUGCUGCCCUUCUGGCUCCAGGUGAUCUUCAUCUCCAUGCUCCUGUGCCUGUCGGGCAUGUUCAGCGGGCUGAACCUGGGGCUCAUGGCGCUGGACCCCAUGGAGCUCCAGAUCGUGCAGAACUGUGGCACGGAGAAGGAGAAGAACUACGCCAGGAAGAUCGAGCCCGUGCGAAGCCAGGGCAACUACCUGCUGUGCUCGCUGCUCCUGGGCAACGUGCUCGUGAACACCACCUUGACCAUCCUGCUGGACGACAUAGCGGGCUCGGGCCUCAUCGCCGUGGUCAUGUCCACCAUCGGCAUCGUCAUCUUCGGCGAAAUCGUCCCUCAGGCCAUCUGCUCCAGGCACGGUCUCGCCGUUGGCGCCAACACCAUAUUCUUGACCAAAUUCUUCAUGCUGCUCACCUUCCCGGCUUCCUACCCCGUGAGCAAGCUUCUGGAUUACCUUCUGGGUCAGGAGAUCGGCACGGUGUACAACAGGGAGAAGCUGCUGGAGAUGCUGAGGGUCACGGAUCCCUACAACGACCUGGUGAAAGAGGAGCUCAACAUCAUCCAGGGUGCGCUGGAGCUGCGGACAAAGACCGUGGAAGACGUGAUGACCCCGCUGCGGGACUGCUUCAUGAUCACAGCAGACGCGAUCCUGGACUUCAACACCAUGUCUGAGAUCAUGGAGAGCGGCUACACGCGCAUACCCGUGUUCGAGGGCGACCGCUCCAACAUCGUGGACCUGCUCUUCGUCAAGGACCUGGCCUUCGUGGAUCCGGACGACUGCACGCCCCUGAAGACCAUCACCAAGUUCUACAGCCACCCGCUGCACUUCGUGUUCAAUGACACCAAGCUGGACGCCAUGCUGGAGGAGUUCAAGAAAGGUAAAUCCCACCUGGCGAUUGUCCAGAGAGUGAACAACGAGGGGGAGGGGGAUCCCUUCUACGAAGUGCUGGGCAUAGUCACCCUGGAGGAUGUCAUCGAGGAAAUCAUCAAGUCCGAGAUCUUGGACGAGACCGACUUGUAUACUGACAACAAAACAAAGAAGAAAAUCACCCAUCGGGAAAGGAAGCAGGAUUUCUCGGCCUUCAAGCCCACGGACAAUGAGAUGAAGGUUAAAAUAUCACCUCAGCUUCUACUGGCUACACUGCGUUUCUUAGCAACAGAGGUGGAGCCCUUCGGUCCGGCGCAGAUGUCCGAGAAGAUCCUUCUGCGACUCCUGAAGCACCCCAACGUCAUCCAGGAGCUGAAGUACGACGAGAAGAACAAGAGGGCCCCGGAGAACUACCUCUUCCAUCGCAAUAAGCCCGUGGACUACUUCAUCCUGAUCCUUCAGGGGAAGGUGGAAGUGGAGGCAGGGAAAGAGGGGAUGAAGUUUGAAGCGGGACCUUUCUCCUCUUAUGGAACGAUGGCCCUGACCGCAUCCCCUGUUCCUCUUUCUCUGUCUCGUACCUUUGUGGUCAGUAGGGCAGAGUCGCUUGCAGGAUCGCCAGCAGAGAAUAAGUCUCCCCCGAGACCUUUCGGGCUGAACCACUCGGACUCUCUGAACCGCAGCGACCGCAUCGAUGCCAUCACGCCCACGCUGGGCAGCAGCAACAACCAGCUCAACGCCUUCCUGCAGAUCUACAUGCCAGACUACUCGGUCAGAGCUGUGUCAGACCUGCAGUACAUCAAGGUCACGAGGCAGCAGUACCAGAAUGCCCUGAUGGCCUCGCGGAUGGACAAGACGCCGCAGUCGUCGGACAGCGAGUACACCAAGAUCGAAUUGACUAUGCCAGAGCCCAACGAGGGCCUCCCGGACGAGACGGCCAACCUGCUGAACCAGCAGCAGAACUGCGUGGCCCACAGCAAGUCGAACCACACCGCACACCACGAGGGGCCCAUCUAGCCCCCCGCCCCCCCCCCUCCCCCCCUCGUCACUGCUCAGCCCCUCUCCCCCAACCACGUGCAAGAGAGCCCGCGUCGGGCCGCUCGGACCCCGACCGCCCACCCGGACGGACCAACCGCACGUCCCCAGACCAAAGAGUUUGGUCCCUUUUUCUUCAGGGCGGUGCAACGGAUGACGGAGGAACACAAAGGACACAAAGAAAUGGCGAGAGGUGACGAAAUGGCGGAGUAACCCUUGGGCCGCUCCUUUCUUUUCAACUUGACCACAGUGCUGCUGGAGGUGUUGUCCACACAUGCCAUGGGGAACAAGGGCAGGACUCAUUUACUGAUGCUGCAUGUUUAUUUUGUCUUAACAAUUUGCAUUUGUUGGCUAAUGACCUGACAAUAUUGCACAGUAGUUUGAAAUAACUACAUUUAUCCGGCAUGCUGAGUGUAACUAAAUUUGCAACGACACACAACUUGAGAUUAAAAGGAAAAACACUGGCCACAAAAAUCCACUGUAUUCACUACCCUUGUGUACAUUGCAGAUGACUGAGAAGUGCUAAUUAAUUUGAGUUGCCUUUUGAUGACACGAAAAUAUACGAGAGAGUGUACUUCCUGUGAAUUCCAUUUCAUUUCUUUAACACUGGAUGCGUUUGUUCCCGUCUGUUAUGAGUCGAAUGUCCUGCUUUCCGGUUACCGCGUAAUUGACGCUUUUCUAAUGUGUCUGUAAUGAGUGUCUUAAAUGUUGCCAUUGAGAGAAAUUCUAGUGGAAAAACUGUAAUAUAUAUUUAUUAGUGUUAUCAUUGGUUCAUUUCCUGCAUUACUCUGUGCUGCUCAUAUUUGCUAGUAUUUACCGAGUUCUUCUAUGCAGGGCUGUUCAGAGGGCUUCCAGUGGCACCCAGUGCUGCACAUGUAGGUGGACAGCAGGCGCCCCCUGCUGGUGGACUGUGAGGCUGCGCUGCUGUUCAUUCCCGUUGGUGGGGCAGGUGGGGCAGGUGGGGCAGGUGGGCAGCCUGGUCUGCCUCUGUCCACGGCCGCACGAGAAUGCACACAGGCUUCUUACACGGGUUUUAGUGCUGGUAACGCACAGCAAGCACGGGCCCGUUUCCCGAAACGCACACUCAAGCCGUCGCGUUUUAAAAAUGCCGUCUAAAAGUUCCAGCAUCUUCCGUUUCUCGGAAGUCAGCCGUUAACAAUGUUAUUUUGGUCCAAAGUCUCUGAUUCCACAUGUAGUUGUUUAACUCUUUGUUCCCAAUAUUCUGUACUGUACCUUGACUCGUUAAAUCUGUUCAAGCUCGUAAAUAGGUAAUGAAUUUGGUGAGGUCAGUUGCUGCAGUCCUGACCUUCCUGUGAUCUGGAAUUUGCACAUAUCUGUUGGAGAAAAAUGAUUGUCCAGUAUUUGGAGGGGGGCCAUAGCAGCAGAGGAUCGAGAAAUGAAAUUUUUAUUUUUUGAUGACACAUGCCUCACAGGUCUGGGGCUGCGGGUUCAGACAUGGGUUGAAAUAUGGCUCAGUCCAUG
Molecule: RNA transcript, 4181 nt
Organism: Scleropages formosus (Asian bonytongue)
Lineage: Eukaryota; Metazoa; Chordata; Actinopteri; Osteoglossiformes; Osteoglossidae
Gene: cnnm2b
Gene name: cyclin and CBS domain divalent metal cation transport mediator 2b
Exons: 9
Source: RefSeq, a predicted model, not a curated record